RNAcentral lists this long non-coding RNA (1020 nucleotides) under Vulpes vulpes (red fox). RNAcentral's name for it is "lncRNA (ENSVVUG00000022429.1)". Lineage: Eukaryota; Metazoa; Chordata; Mammalia; Carnivora; Canidae. The record is from RNAcentral.
GUGUGUGUGUGUGUGUGUGUGUGUGUGUGUUUUCAUAGUUAUAAAUCAUACUGCUCAACUAUUUAGUGUUGUGUUUUUAAAAACUUUUCCAUUAUAUCACAAGUAUUUUCCCCCAUUGCUCAUCUUCAUAAACGUAUCUGAAGGACUGCAUUCAUUUAUGCAGCAAAUGUUAAGUGAGCAUCUACUAUGGUCUGUGGAGAGACAGUGUAAUGAUAGAGCCGACCUUUACUGGGUGCGAACUGUGCCAGACACCAUCCUCAUCGCUUGCAUUAAGUCCCUUCUUCCUCACAACAACCCUAUGAGGUAUGCCUUACCAUCAUGCCCAUUUUUCCAGAUGAGAAAACCGAGGCCCAGCAUGGCACAGCUGAGAGGGGCAGCCAGUAUUUGCAUUCAGGUGGACAGGUCACAGAACCUAGACUUUGGUCAUGCUGGACUACUUUGUCAACCACAAAUAGGUGACCCCAGUCCAGAGUGAUCUGAGCUGGAACAGGGAAUGUACGGGAACAUGUGACAGCUCUGAGGAGGCUACAGAUCCAUGCAGGUGCAUCAGGGAAGUCUUCCUGGAGGAGAUAACAUUCUGGCUGAGGAGGUAGGAGGUGAGGGCGCUGCAGGUAGAGGGAGCUGUUUGAUGAGGAUCUGAGGUAGGAGCGGGCAUGGAAGGUUGACAAGCUGAUGGCACUGAAACUGGUUGGAGAGGUGGGCAGGGCUAGAUCAUGUGGGAAUUAUGGGCCCAGGGAGCCCCAGAGGGGUGUGAAGCUGGAAUAUGGCAUGACUGGGAGGCCUUCCCCCACUUGCUCUGGCCCCCCGCAGCCAGUCUGUCCCGCAUGGCAGUGCCCAGCAUUCUGGGCACUUCUUGCCUGUAUGUCGCCUGUCUGUUGUUCUAGAUUGAAGAAAGUUCUGGAAGGCGGAACCUGGAGUGAUGUAUUCACUUUUGUGACCCAGGAUCAAGAUCUAUGCUGGGCAGGAGAUGCCCUGGAGAAUGAGCCAACCCUCGCUGGGCCCUCUCAACGCUGUUCUUGA